RNAcentral lists this ribosomal RNA (509 nucleotides) under Pseudoalteromonas lipolytica. RNAcentral's name for it is "bacterial SSU rRNA". It matches the Rfam family "Bacterial small subunit ribosomal RNA", at positions 208 to 709 of the family's 1533-position model. The record is from RNAcentral. Lineage: Bacteria; Pseudomonadati; Pseudomonadota; Gammaproteobacteria; Alteromonadales; Pseudoalteromonadaceae.
GGGCCUCACGCCAUAAGAUUAGCCCAAGUGGGAUUAGCUAGUUGGUGAGGUAAUGGCUCACCAAGGCGACGAUCCCUAGCUGGUUUGAGAGGAUGAUCAGCCACACUGGGACUGAGACACGGCCCAGACUCCUACGGGAGGCAGCAGUGGGGAAUAUUGCACAAUGGGCGCAAGCCUGAUGCAGCCAUGCCGCGUGUGUGAAGAAGGCCUUCGGGUUGUAAAGCACUUUCAGUAAGGAGGAAAGGUUGAGUGUUAAUAGCGCUUAGCUGUGACGUUACUUACAGAAGAAGCACCGGCUAACUCCGUGCCAGCAGCCGCGGUAAUACGGAGGGUGCGAGCGUUAAUCGGAAUUACUGGGCGUAAAGCGUACGCAGGCGGUUUGUUAAGCGAGAUGUGAAAGCCCCGGGCUCAACCUGGGAACUGCAUUUCGAACUGGCAAACUAGAGUGUGAUAGAGGGUGGUAGAAUUUCAGGUGUAGCGGUGAAAUGCGUAGAGAUCUGAAGGAAUAC